Chelonoidis abingdonii (Abingdon island giant tortoise) is the source of this 167-nucleotide non-coding RNA. Lineage: Eukaryota; Metazoa; Chordata; Testudines; Testudinidae. The record is from RefSeq and is a predicted model, not a curated record.
GGCUCUUCCCAUCUGGAAGCGCAGGUUCAGACAUUUGGUGUAUGUGCUUGGCUGAGGAGCCAAUGGGGCAAAACUACCAUCUGUGGGAUUAUGACUAAACGCCUCUAAGUCAGAAUCCCCCCUAAAUGUAAUGAUACGGCAGUGCCGCGGAGCCUCGGUUGGCUCCG